This 1715-nucleotide long non-coding RNA is filed under the name Paramuricea clavata. The record is from RNAcentral. Lineage: Eukaryota; Metazoa; Cnidaria; Anthozoa; Malacalcyonacea; Plexauridae.
GGUUCACAUUAUUUUUCUACUUAUAGACUCAUAAUUGUGCGACAGAACUCCUAGUUAUAGACUAAAUAAUCUUUACCAUGAGAUUGUGUGGACAACAUAGUUUGAGUUCUUUUAACCAUCCUUGAACUUUUGUUCAAGCCUAGUGACUUAGUACAUGAAAAUCAUCCCACCUUUCAUCCUGUCCUGAUAAACUGGGAUCAUGUAGACAGCACAUUUAGCCAUUAACCCAUUAAGCGCCAGCGCUCUCCCCUUGAUGAGUAAAAUCGUCUGGCGUUAGACAGAGUAAAAUACUAAAGUAGGGUGCAUCAGGGUGCAAUGCGACUCGAUGGGUUAAGUUGAUUUGCACCCUAAUUUACCUACUUAUAUUAUUUAACUCUGUCUAAUGUCAGACAAUUUUAUUAAGCAGGGGGAGCACUAGCAGUUAAUGGGUAUAAACUAGGCAUAUGGGCAUUCUCAUUAUGAAGCAUAAAAUCGUCUGGCGUUGGACAGUAAAAUACUCAAGUAGAGCAUGCAUCAGGGCACUGUAUACAACCUAAUGGUUUAAUUUUUUGUACCAAAAUGGUUUAAGUUUUAUAUCUGAAUUAAUUGAUUUUUUGCCUUGUUUUACAGAUCAUUACUGAUGAAUUGUGACUAUACUAAAUGGAUACAAAGAGACUAUGAUGGAUAAAUAUGGCCCCGUAAUGGGAUAUUCAGUUGAUGGACAUACAAAGGUCACAGAAAUGUCUACUUUCAGGUACUGUUCUUUCUUGUUUGCCUGCAGGCUGUAGAUACUUGUACCCAGGCCAUUGUUUGUUUUGUUGUUCUGGGUACAAUGAAAUCCGGCAUAAAUCCUGGCGGUCUAAAUGUUCAGUAUAUUUACACAUUCAAUCUAUUUUCUGUUCAGUAGACUUUGAUAGCUUGAAUGAAAGUUUACGAUGAUUUUCUUUGCAAAAACUGUACUUUCGAAAUUCAUCAGCUUCUGAAUUUGAAAACGGAUCUGAAAAGAGAGAACAUUUGAUUGUAUGGUUAUUGAGUGUAUGGUCAUUACAAAUGCAGCAACCCAACAGUUUAGACAGGGUCAUGAGGCAGGAUGUGUACAAGAAAAGCUUUGCCAGAGUUUUGAACGACGACUGGAAAUUGCUGUUUGAUUCUUUGUAAUAUCUUAUUGCUCGUUAGUAAAAAAGAAAUUUGUCACUUUCCUCAUGUAAACCUUUUUCAAAAAACUGGCAUCGUUUGUCUUGGGGUUAUGGGGGUACAAAUGGUACCCAUAGCUUAGAGGGUGCAAAUGGUACCCGUAAGAAGACUUGGUGGAAAUCAUGUUGGUCGUUUGGAUCGGCGAGAAUAAGACAAUUAUGGCGGCAAAGUUUUUUUUAAACAUUUUCUCUCCCGUAGUAAGGUAAAGCAUGUAUUUUCCUGGUAGCCGGUCUUACUUCAUGAAAAAAACAGUCCGCUACCAGUGACUAGGUCCCCUCUCUUAUGGCGGUCAUUGCGGCUCAAUACCUUCAGGGAUAUUCCUUUUCAGGGCGGUUGCAUGCGGAUAAUAUGGUCCGUCGCGUGCGCAAAAUAGUUAGGGAGAUAGACAGUUUAGAGGCGUCGAAACUGCGCAAUAGAGACCUUACGAUUUUAGGACGGCAACCGCGACGGCAACGGCUACCAAUACAAUAGAUCAUUGAAAAGAAUUGAGUAAUUACAAUAAAUGAAUAAUUUAGACAUUGUCCUCGCUCUGUUUACAACGC